This 448-nucleotide ribosomal RNA is filed under the name uncultured Rickettsiaceae bacterium. RNAcentral's name for it is "bacterial SSU rRNA". It matches the Rfam family "Bacterial small subunit ribosomal RNA", at positions 29 to 505 of the family's 1533-position model. Lineage: Bacteria; Pseudomonadati; Pseudomonadota; Alphaproteobacteria; Rickettsiales; Rickettsiaceae. The record is from RNAcentral.
AACGAACGCUGGCGGUAUGCUUAACACAUGCAAGUCGAACGAACAAACUUGGAGCUUGCUUCGAGUUUAGUGAGUGGCAAACGGGUGAGUAACACGUGGGAAUCUACCCAUCAGUACGGAAUAACUCUUGGAAACAGGUGCUAAUACCGUAUACCUUCUACGGAAGAAAGAUUUAUCGCUGAUGGAUGAGCCCGCGCAAGAUUAGGUAGUUGGUAGGGUAAUAGCCUACCAAGCCUACGAUCUUUAGCUGGUCUGAGAGGACGAUCAGCCACACUGGGACUGAGACACGGCCCAGACUCCUACGGGAGGCAGCAGUGGGGAAUAUUGGACAAUGGGCGAAAGCCUGAUCCAGCAAUACCGCGUGAAUGAUGAAGGCCUUAGGGUUGUAAAGUUCUUUUAGUAGGGAAGAUAAUGACGGUACCUACAGAAAAAGCUCCGGCUAACUCCG